RNAcentral lists this ribosomal RNA (675 nucleotides) under uncultured bacterium. Its description in RNAcentral is "bacterial SSU rRNA". It matches the Rfam family "Bacterial small subunit ribosomal RNA", at positions 75 to 770 of the family's 1533-position model. The record is from RNAcentral.
CGAUUUACUUCGGUAAAGAGCGGCGGACGGGUGAGUAACGCGUGGGUAACCUACCCUGUACACACGGAUAACAUACCGAAAGGUAUGCUAAUACGGGAUAAUAUAUUUGAGAGGCAUCUCUUGAAUAUCAAAGGUGAGCCAGUACAGGAUGGACCCGCGUCUGAUUAGCUAGUUGGUAAGGUAACGGCUUACCAAGGCGACGAUCAGUAGCCGACCUGAGAGGGUGAUCGGCCACAUUGGAACUGAGACACGGUCCAAACUCCUACGGGAGGCAGCAGUGGGGAAUAUUGCACAAUGGGCGAAAGCCUGAUGCAGCAACGCCGCGUGAGUGAUGAAGGCCUUCGGGUCGUAAAACUCUGUCCUCAAGGAAGAUAAUGACGGUACUUGAGGAGGAAGCCCCGGCUAACUACGUGCCAGCAGCCGCGGUAAUACGUAGGGGGCUAGCGUUAUCCGGAUUUACUGGGCGUAAAGGGUGCGUAGGCGGUCUUUCAAGUCAGGAGUGAAAGGCUACGGCUCAACCGUAGUAAGCUCUUGAAACUGGGAGACUUGAGUGCAGGAGAGGAGAGUGGAAUUCCUAGUGUAGCGGUGAAAUGCGUAGAUAUUAGGAGGAACACCAGUUGCGAAGGCGGCUCUCUGGACUGUAACUGACGCUGAGGCACGAAAGCGUGGGGAGCA